AACGAUCGCUGGCGGCAUGCCUAACACAUGCAAGUCGAACGAGACCUUCGGGUCUAGUGGCGCACGGGUGCGUAACGCGUGGGAACCUGCCCUUAGGUUCGGAAUAACUCCCCGAAAGGGGUGCUAAUACCGGAUAAUGUCUUCGGACCAAAGAUUUAUCGCCUUUGGAUGGGCCCGCGUUGGAUUAGCUAGUUGGUAGGGUAAAAGCCUACCAAGGCGACGAUCCAUAGCUGGUCUGAGAGGAUGAUCAGCCAAACUGGGACUGAGACACGGCCCAGACCCCUAGGGGAGGAAGAAGGGGGGAAAAUGGAAAAAUGGGGAAAAACCUAAUCAAGAAAGGCCGGGUGAGGAAGGAAGGCUUUAGGGUUGUAAAGCUCUUUUACCCGGGAAAAAAAUGACAGACACGGGGAAAUAAGCCCCGGCAAACCCCGU
This 432-nucleotide ribosomal RNA is filed under the name uncultured bacterium. Its description in RNAcentral is "partial 16S ribosomal RNA". It matches the Rfam family "Bacterial small subunit ribosomal RNA", at positions 29 to 506 of the family's 1533-position model. The record is from RNAcentral.